CCUACGGGAGGCUGCAGUCGAGAAGCAUUCACAAUGGGGGAAACCCUGAUGGAGCGACGCCGCGUGGGGGAAUGAAGGUCUGCGGAUUGUAAACCCCUGUCAUGGGGGAGCAAAGUAAAAAGAUAGUACCACAAGAGGAAGAGACGGCUAACUCUGUGCCAGCAGCCGCGGUAAUACAGAGGUCUCAAGCGUUGUUCGGAAUCACUGGGCGUAACGCGUGCGUAGGCUGUUGCGUAAGUCGUGUGUGAAAGGCGCGGGCUCAACCCGCGGACGGCACAUGAUACGGCGAGACUAGGGUAAUGUCGGGGGAACCCGAAUUCUCGGUGUAGCCGU
RNAcentral lists this ribosomal RNA (333 nucleotides) under uncultured bacterium. RNAcentral's name for it is "partial 16S ribosomal RNA". It matches the Rfam family "Bacterial small subunit ribosomal RNA", at positions 338 to 682 of the family's 1533-position model. The record is from RNAcentral.